Molecule: long non-coding RNA, 170 nt
Organism: Quercus lobata
Lineage: Eukaryota; Viridiplantae; Streptophyta; Magnoliopsida; Fagales; Fagaceae
Exons: 3
Source: RefSeq, a predicted model, not a curated record
GGAGAAGAUUGCACCUACAUGGAUGAAUGUUUCUUUGAAAAUGAAAGAUGACCCAGAGACUGAUAAAGCUUUUGGAUGGGUUUUAGAAAUGUAUGCCUAUGCUGUAGCUUCUGCUUUUCACGGUGUGCAGCAUAUUCUUCGCAAAGACUUUAUGCUGCAGCCCCCAUGGG